UUGGUACUAUCUCCGUCCGAAAAUACUUGUCAUCAAAAUGGAUAAAAUAAGAUGUAUCUAGACGUAUUUUAGUUUUAGAUACAUCUUUUUUAUCCAUUUUGAUAACAAAUAUUUUCGGAUAGAGGGAGUAGUAA
Triticum urartu is the source of this 134-nucleotide non-coding RNA. The record is from Rfam. NCBI's taxonomy places the organism in Eukaryota, Viridiplantae, Streptophyta, Magnoliopsida, Poales, Poaceae.